Paramuricea clavata is the source of this 254-nucleotide non-coding RNA. The record is from the annotation of a GenBank genome assembly. NCBI's taxonomy places the organism in Eukaryota, Metazoa, Cnidaria, Anthozoa, Malacalcyonacea, Plexauridae.
CACCUAAACAGACUUUACAAAAAUUAUGAAAGCAAGCCAAGCCUUCUUGGUUCGUGUAGAGUUUCCAAACACAUGCAACAUGUGAGUAGUUCGUUGAUUUCAUCAACAGGAACACUUUCUGAUGAAGCACUUGCCAUUUCAAUUAAACCUUUCCUACUUCACAAUUUAGACAACAUAUUCCUUUGUGUCUUCUUUCCAACGAAAUGAUCGCAUAUAAAAAUCUUUGUGAAAGUGUCAGCAUUCUUUGAAAAUUG